This is a long non-coding RNA of Leopardus geoffroyi (Geoffroy's cat), 263 nucleotides long. RefSeq lists it as uncharacterized. The transcript is spliced from 2 exons. Lineage: Eukaryota; Metazoa; Chordata; Mammalia; Carnivora; Felidae. The record is from RefSeq and is a predicted model, not a curated record.
UUACCUAGGGAGAAAAAAAAAUCCAUUUUAAUAAGGUUGACUUUAAGAAAGAAGGUUGAGGAGAUGAUAAAAAUACGAAAUGUCCAGACUCCACUGGAUUGGAACAGGCCUUCGGUCACACUGGAACCACACCAUUGGCUCUCUCAGGUCUCCAGUUUGCUAGAUGUUCCAGCUUGCCCACUGAAGAUCUUGGACUUCUCAGCUUCCAUAAUUUCACGAGCCAAUUCCUAUUCCAUAUAGUAAAUCAACCUGUGUGUGUGUUA